UUGCUUGUUUUUUAAGUUCAUUAAAUGUAUAAUGAACUGUGUAAUGUCCUUCCUAAGUAUAUGAACCAUCAGUCUACAGUGUCUUGAUGUGUAGUUUCCCCAACAAAAGCUAAAUUCAAGGCAUUCUAGUAUAAGUCUUUUCAGGAUGUAGCAGUCAUACAGCUCAGAUCAGCUUGGCAGUUUGGUGAGGAAGAGACCAGACAGGGAAGUUUUACUACUUUCUUCGUUGCUAGCUUUAGAAACAUGACAGACCGAUUUUAUCCUUUAUAAAAUACACUGCAGUAAGAGGUAAUGAAAGGAGUGUUGCUGGUUACCUCGGAGGUUCGGUCAUCUUGCCGUCGGGAGCAGACCCAACGACGAAACUAGUAGCCAUUCGAUGGUCUAUCUACAACAACGUCACAUUUAUUGCUACCUUUAGUGAAGGGGAGUUUCGAAAUAAAUACUGGAAAUACAAAGACCGCCUUGAGCUUAACACCACCACAGGAGAUUUGGAAAUUAAAUAUUUACAGGCAGAUGAUGACCUGAGGUACACUGUGUUAUUAGAGCAUCCAAACAAUUUAGAGCGUCAUAACUACGUUACUCUUACAGUUCGGGAAAAACUCAGAACCCCAAGCAUACACAUUAUUUCGAGGAGCCUGAAGGAUGGGUUUUGUACAAUUUCACUUUCCUGUACAUCCGAGGAUAAUGUCACUCUCUCCUGGAAACCUGAACAAGGGUUCAGUGAACGCUAUUUGAGUGGGAAGCCAAACCAGAGCUCCAAUGAGGCAGUGCUAUGGACAUCUUUUAGUCCAAACAGAAACAUAACCUUCAGCUGCACAGCCACUGAUGGUGAUCUUAAAGAGGGAAAGAAACAUAAUCUGAAAUGUCAAGAGGAUUCCUGUCACUGUCAGCAGAACUAUGCACUUUUGGUUUUCCUUUUAGUUGUGUUCAUUUGUCUCAUUGUGGGAUUUGCAUACAAAUAUAGAGCUGAAAUAGGGACCUGGUUCAGGAAUUACUGGAACACUGCUUUCACAAAAAGCUAAUCACAGCCACUGCAGUACCACAUUAACCGGGCACCAAGCUUUGAUCACUGAGUUUGUGUGUGUUACAUACAUUGUACCCUUAGGUAAUUUGUAAAUUGUAUGAAAGGUACAUUCUUCAAUACAUUUCAAUAUAUUUUUGAGUUUGUGAAUGAGACACAUUAAGUUUUUGCGAUGUUUUGUGUAUUUUUUAACUUUUAUAAUUGCAAAGUUGCAUCAUUGUCUUUAUUGUAGAGGCAAUGUACUUUAAUAUACCACUCUUACUGUGCACAAUUCAUGCUGUCCAUGGUGAUUCCUUGAACAGACUUUUAACACGAUGUGGAUGGCAAACCAUCAAAAAGUGGCACUUUUGUUUUUAGCAGUUCAAUGGUCUAUGUUUCUGUUAAAGGUCAUGUGUGUAACCUUAAAAACCACUUCUUACCUCCAAAUUCUGGCAUGGUGAAUAAUAAAACAUUAUUUGUAAUCAUUAUUAUUACAUUGCUGUUAAUACCA
Non-coding RNA from Electrophorus electricus (electric eel), 1511 nucleotides. The record is from RefSeq and is a predicted model, not a curated record. NCBI's taxonomy places the organism in Eukaryota, Metazoa, Chordata, Actinopteri, Gymnotiformes, Gymnotidae.